RNAcentral lists this long non-coding RNA (2641 nucleotides) under Sarcophilus harrisii (Tasmanian devil). Its description in RNAcentral is "lncRNA (ENSSHAG00000020889.1)". Lineage: Eukaryota; Metazoa; Chordata; Mammalia; Dasyuromorphia; Dasyuridae. The record is from RNAcentral.
UUCCUUCCUCACAUCCGGAGAUCAGUUGUCCAUACUAGUCCUCCUCCAGACUCUCAGUACUAUAAGAACAUAAAAGCAGCACUUGAUUCUGAGUCUGAAGGCCAUGGGUUCCAAACUAAAGACCCUCUGCUUUCUGUUUCUUGGUCUCCUGCCAAACACCACUGCUGAAUGAUGCUCAAGAAUGAUUCUCUAUCAACAAGAAUAUAUCUGUCCUUUUUUGAUUUGACCUCAGCCCCAAAUUAUCAGCAUAAAAGAAAGGAAUUGUAACAGGAAUAAAACAAAUCAAGAUACCACAGAAUAGAUCUGGAUUCUGAAGGGAAGAAGGAAAAUUGGAACUACAAAAAGUCUUCCUACAGGUCUUCAGUAGCCGUAGCUACUAUACCUACAGAAGCAGUUUCCAGACUGAGUGAUGUUACAUGAUAUGACCACAGGGCUGGGCUGGGAAACAGGACCAGUAAUCUGGGCAGGACUGCUACACCUGUGAUUUGGGUGACUAUCUCCUCUGCUACUGGUAUUUUGUCAGCAAUUGGUAUUGGUGACUAUGAGGGAGAUGUGUCCUUUCUCCACAGUAACUGUUCCCCUCAAUGACUAAGGAUCUCAGGAUAGAAGCAAGAUAAGCAGAGGGAAGAGGAAAGAGAGGAAGAGGUUGUGCUUUUCCCAAGGCUUUUAGAUUCAAGAUUUUGUAUUAUCUUCAUCACAAUAAAAAGAAAAAUAAUAAUGAGAUAAUGGUAUCCUGGUUCAGGCCCUCAUCAUCUCAUCCCUGGACUACUACAACAGCCUGACAGUUGUAACAUCUCCCUGCUUCAAGUCUUGCUCCACUCCAACCUAGCUUCCACUCAGCUGUCAAAGUAAUUUUCUAGCAUACAGAUGGUGCCAUGUCCUUCCGGAUUCCAGAAUUCAGUUAUCUCAAAGCAUAGCCAGAUAAUAUAAUGGUUUUCCUAACAGGCAGAUGGAGUUGGCUACAAAGACAGGAUCUGGAGAACACUAGCAUUUGUUUUAUCCUCCCUCACAGGGCUCUCAUUAUCUACAGCAUAAGAUUUUCCAAAAGGCAAAAUAAACUGAUGUGUCUAAAAGUACAUGUAACAAUAAAGUGCAGUACAAAUGUAGGCUAUCGAUCAGAACUCUGGCAAGAGUAGGGAUAUUCCACAUUCCGCCUAUCUUCUGACAGCUCAUUCCAUGGAGGUCAAAGCUAAGCAGAUGAUCUAUGGACAUGAAAAUACAAAACUCACCUGCCUCUGGUCAUUCUGGGGAACUAGGGAUUAUGUUAACAACAAGCAAAUAUUUUUAAAUUACCUUCUGUGUUCUGAGAGAUCACCUUAGUGGCUAAAGAGUCAGCCUCAAAGUCAGGAAGAGGGGUAUUUGAGGAUUGCCUCUGAUUCACACUGUCUUUGUGACCCUCAUCAGGCAGAUUACUCAGUUUAACCUCUCCAUGCUCUAGGUAACUCUCUAAAAUUACAAAUUUCAGAGAAAGUGUUGGCUGGCAUUGGUAGGAAAAAAAAUUCCCAAUGCAGUAAAAUCCCUAAAUCAUUGAAAUCACAAGCCCAAUCCCGAUUCCCUCUCUAACUUAACACUUCAGUGCUAGGUCCCCAAGGGGCAUACAAAGUCUAAAUAAGAUAUGAUAUCUGCCUUGUGAAACAUGUCUCAAACUGAAGAAUUUACUAAUCCCUUCCCCCGCCCCCCUUAGAGGGCAACUUCUUCAGAGAGAUCACAUGAUUUUGUUCAAGAAGAAAGAAUUAAGAGAAUGCUCUUUUUUUCACCCAUCAGAAAAUAACAGGAACUGGAAGAAUCCUAAUAAGUUAUUCAAUCAGUGAAUAAGCAGUUAUUAAGCACUUACUGUUCGCCAAGUACUAUGUUAAACACUAAGGAUACAAUGAAGGAUGAAAGACAGUCCUCUCAAGGAACACAAUCUAACAAUAAUAGUCAAUUUGUGGUAAGAAUUGAUUAGUAAUGGGGCAGGUAGGUGGUGCAGUGGAUAAAGCCCCAGCCCAGAAGUCAGGAGGACCUGAGUUCAAAAGUUCAAAAAUGACCUCAGAGAUUUAACACUUCCUAGCUGUGUUAUCCUAGGCAAGUCACUUAACCCUAAUUGUCUCAGUGAAAGAAAGAAAAAAUAGAUUAGUAAUUUCCCCUCACCAUAUAUGAAUAUAUCUGCCUUAGAUACUUAUAUAUACAAAUACACAUUGUAGCAUACACAUACAAUGUAUGACUAUGUAUAUUAUAAUAUGCUUAAAUAUCUGUGCACGUACACAUAUAUGUACAUAAAUAUUAAUGGGAGAAAGAAAACAAAAAUCUCUUUAGUAGACUCAAUAAAGUUUUAUUGUUAGUCACCAAAUAAGCACAGCAAACAACUAAAUAGUUGUUAAAUAUAAAUAUGUAAUUAUAUUUAAUAAUGAUUAAAUGCAGGCUUAUGAGAUUACAUAUUAAGUAUAAUUAAGUAUAUUAAGGAUAUGUAUACAAGAUUUAGGGGGCAGCUAGGCAGCUAGAUGAUUCAGUGGAUAAAGUGAGUGCUGCAUCUGGAUCCCAAAAGACCCAAGUUCAAAUCUGACCUCAGAAACUUCUUGGUUCACACAACCUGAAAAAGUCACAUAAUUUCUGUUUGUUUUAAUCCACUGGAGAAGGAAAUGUAUCUUUGCCAAAAAAAAAA